RNAcentral lists this ribosomal RNA (486 nucleotides) under uncultured bacterium. Its description in RNAcentral is "partial 16S ribosomal RNA". It matches the Rfam family "Bacterial small subunit ribosomal RNA", at positions 30 to 507 of the family's 1533-position model. The record is from RNAcentral.
AUUGAACGCUGGCGGCAUGCCUUACACAUGCAAGUCGAACGGCAGCACGGGUGCUUGCACCUGGUGGCGAGUGGCGAACGGGUGAGUAAUACAUCGGAACAUGUCCUGUAGUGGGGGAUAGCCCGGCGAAAGCCGGAUUAAUACCGCAUACGAUCUACGGAUGAAAGCGGGGGCCCUCCGGGCCUCGCCCAUUAGGGUUGGCCGAUGGCUGAUUAGCUAGUUGGUGGGGUAAAGGCCUACCAAGGCGACGAUCAGUAGCUGGUCUGAGAGGACGACCAGCCACACUGGGACUGAGACACGGCCCAGACUCCUACGGGAGGCAGCAGUGGGGAAUUUUGGACAAUGGGCGAAAGCCUGAUCCAGCAAUGCCGCGUGUGUGAAGAAGGCCUUCGGGUUGUAAAGCACUUUUGUCCGGAAAGAAAUCCUUGGCUCUAAUACAGUCGGGGGAUGACGGUACCGGAAGAAUAAGCACCGGCUAACUACGUG